AUUGAACGCUGGCGGCAGGCCUAACACAUGCAAGUCGAGCGGAUGAAGGGAGCUUGCUCCUGGAUUCAGCGGCGGACGGGUGAGUAAUGCCUAGGAAUCUGCCUGGUAGUGGGGGAUAACGUCCGGAAACGGGCGCUAAUACCGCAUACGUCCUGCGGGAGAAAGUGGGGGAUCUUCGGACCUCACGCUAUCAGAUAAGCCUAGGUCGGAUUAGCUAGUUGGUGGGGUAAAGGCCUACCAAGGCGACGAUCCGUAACUGGUCUGAGAGGAUGAUCAGUCACACUGGAACUGAGACACGGUCCAGACUCCUACGGGAGGCAGCAGUGGGGAAUAUUGGACAAUGGGCGAAAGCCUGAUCCAGCCAUGCCGCGUGUGUGAAGAAGGUCUUCGGAUUGUAAAGCACUUUAAGUUGGGAGGAAGGGCAGUAAGUUAAUACCUUGCUGUUUUGACGUUACCAACAGAAUAAGCACCGGCUAACUUCGUG
This 484-nucleotide ribosomal RNA is filed under the name uncultured bacterium. RNAcentral's name for it is "partial 16S ribosomal RNA". It matches the Rfam family "Bacterial small subunit ribosomal RNA", at positions 30 to 507 of the family's 1533-position model. The record is from RNAcentral.